AUUGAACGCUGGCGGCAUGCCUUACACAUGCAAGUCGAACGGCAGCACGGGAGCAAUCCUGGUGGCGAGUGGCGAACGGGUGAGUAAUAUAUCGGAACGUGCCCAGUCGUGGGGGAUAACGUAGCGAAAGCUACGCUAAUACCGCAUACGAUCUACGGAUGAAAGCGGGGGAUCGCAAGACCUCGCGCGAUUGGAGCGGCCGAUAUCAGAUUAGCUAGUUGGUGGGGUAAAAGCUCACCAAGGCGACGAUCUGUAGCUGGUCUGAGAGGACGACCAGCCACACUGGAACUGAGACACGGUCCAGACUCCUACGGGAGGCAGCAGUGGGGAAUUUUGGACAAUGGGCGCAAGCCUGAUCCAGCAAUGCCGCGUGCAGGAUGAAGGCCUUCGGUUGUAACUGCUUUGUACGGUAACGAAACGGUAGAGCUCUAAUAAAGACUUGCUAAUGACGGUACCGUAAGAAUAAGACACCGGCUAACUACGUGCC
RNAcentral lists this ribosomal RNA (487 nucleotides) under uncultured bacterium. RNAcentral's name for it is "bacterial SSU rRNA". It matches the Rfam family "Bacterial small subunit ribosomal RNA", at positions 30 to 509 of the family's 1533-position model. The record is from RNAcentral.